This 119-nucleotide ribosomal RNA is filed under the name Triticum aestivum (bread wheat). Lineage: Eukaryota; Viridiplantae; Streptophyta; Magnoliopsida; Poales; Poaceae. The record is from RNAcentral.
GGAUGCGAUCAUACCAGCACUAAAGCACCGGAUCCCAUCAGAACUCCGAAGUUAAGCGUGCUUGGGCGAGAGUAGUACUAGGAUGGGUGACCUCCUGGUAAGUCCUCGUGUUGUAUUCC